UACUGACCGUCAUGGCGUACCCUCAAGGGUCAGAGGCGACCAAGGAGUGGAGAAUGUUGACAUUGCUCGAUAUAUGUUUACUGUGCGUGGAACUGACAGGGGAAGCUUCAUAUCUGGGAAAAGUGUGCACAAUCAAAGAAUCGAACGUCUAUGGCGAGACAUCAGGAUGUGUGUAACUUCACACUAUUACAACACACUUCACAGCUUGGAAGCAGAACACCUU
Molecule: long non-coding RNA, 223 nt
Organism: Girardinichthys multiradiatus
Lineage: Eukaryota; Metazoa; Chordata; Actinopteri; Cyprinodontiformes; Goodeidae
Exons: 3
Source: RefSeq, a predicted model, not a curated record